RNAcentral lists this non-coding RNA (30 nucleotides) under Mus musculus (house mouse). The record is from RNAcentral. Lineage: Eukaryota; Metazoa; Chordata; Mammalia; Rodentia; Muridae.
UGAGAAAACAACGAUAAAGAAUUUGGCAUC